UGGAGUUAACGCCCAACGCCUGCC
RNAcentral lists this non-coding RNA (24 nucleotides) under Rattus norvegicus (Norway rat). Lineage: Eukaryota; Metazoa; Chordata; Mammalia; Rodentia; Muridae. The record is from RNAcentral.